UCGGGAUAGCUCAGUUGGUAGAGCAGAGGACUGAAAAUCCUCGUGUCCCCGGUUCAA
Molecule: transfer RNA, 57 nt
Filed under: Empodium sp. AK-2021
Lineage: Eukaryota; Viridiplantae; Streptophyta; Magnoliopsida; Asparagales; Hypoxidaceae
Description: partial tRNA-Phe
Rfam family: tRNA
About the family: Transfer RNA (tRNA) molecules are approximately 80 nucleotides in length. Their secondary structure includes four short double-helical elements and three loops (D, anti-codon, and T loops).
Source: RNAcentral